CCUACGGGAGGCAGCAGUGAGGAAUAUUGGUCAAUGGACGAGAGUCUGAAGCAGCCAAGUAGCGUGAAGGAUGACUGCUCUAUGGGUUGUAAACUUCUUUUAUAUGGGAAUAAAAUGUUCCAAGUGGGGGAUUUUGUACGUACCAUUUGAAUAAGGAUCGGCUAACUCCUUGCCAGGAGCCGCGGUUAUACGGAGGCACCGAGCGUUAUCCGGAUUUAAUGGGUUUAAAGGGAGCGUAGGUGGAUUGUUAAGUCAGUUGUGAAAGUUUGCGGCUCAACCGUAGAAUUGCAGUUGAAACUGGCAGUCUAGAGUACAGUAGAGGUGGGCAGAAUUCGUGGUGUAGCGGUGAAAUGCGUAGAUAUCACGAAGAACACUGAUUGCGAAGGCGGCUCACUGGACUGCAACUGACACUGAGGCUCGAAAGUGUGGGUAUCAAACAGGAUUAGAUACCCUAGUAGUC
RNAcentral lists this ribosomal RNA (460 nucleotides) under uncultured bacterium. RNAcentral describes it as "partial 16S ribosomal RNA". It matches the Rfam family "Bacterial small subunit ribosomal RNA", at positions 338 to 795 of the family's 1533-position model. The record is from RNAcentral.